UGACGAGCGGCGGACGGGUGAGUAAUGCUUGGGAACAUGCCUUGAGGUGGGGGACAACAGUUGGAAACGACUGCUAAUACCGCAUAAUGUCUACGGACCAAAGGGGGCUUCGGCUCUCGCCUUUAGAUUGGCCCAAGUGGGAUUAGCUAGUUGGUGAGGUAAUGGCUCACCAAGGCGACGAUCCCUAGCUGGUUUGAGAGGAUGAUCAGCCACACUGGGACUGAGACACGGCCCAGACUCCUACGGGAGGCAGCAGUGGGGAAUAUUGCACAAUGGGCGCAAGCCUGAUGCAGCCAUGCCGCGUGUGUGAAGAAGGCCUUCGGGUUGUAAAGCACUUUCAGUCAGGAGGAAAGGUUAGUAGUUAAUACCUGCUAGACUGUGACGUUACUGACAGAAGAAGCACCGGC
RNAcentral lists this ribosomal RNA (407 nucleotides) under Pseudoalteromonas sp. ARK-10. RNAcentral describes it as "bacterial SSU rRNA". It matches the Rfam family "Bacterial small subunit ribosomal RNA", at positions 89 to 497 of the family's 1533-position model. The record is from RNAcentral. Lineage: Bacteria; Pseudomonadati; Pseudomonadota; Gammaproteobacteria; Alteromonadales; Pseudoalteromonadaceae.